Molecule: ribosomal RNA, 617 nt
Filed under: Amiota leucostoma
Lineage: Eukaryota; Metazoa; Arthropoda; Insecta; Diptera; Drosophilidae
Description: partial 16S ribosomal RNA
Rfam family: Bacterial large subunit ribosomal RNA (bases 369-528)
Source: RNAcentral
UAUAAAGUCUACCUGCCCACUGAAUUAUUAAAUGGCCGCAGUAUUUUAACUGUGCAAAGGUAGCAUAAUCAUUAGUCUUUUAAUUGGAGGCUGGUAUGAAUGGUUGGACGAAAUAUUAACUGUUUCAUAUAAAUUUAUAAUAGAAUUUUAUUUUUUAGUUAAAAAGCUAAAAUUUAUUUAAAAGACGAGAAGACCCUAUAAAUCUUUAUAUUUAUUUUUAUUUUAAUUUAUAAGAUUAUUUUUAUUAUAAUAAAAAUAAAUAUUUUAUUGGGGUGAUAUUAAAAUUUAAUAAACUUUUAAUUUAUUAAAACAUAAAUGUAUGAAUUAUUGAUCCAUUAAUAAUGAUUAAAAAUUUAAGUUACUUUAGGGAUAACAGCGUAAUUUUUUUGGAGAGUUCAUAUCGAUAAAAAAGAUUGCGACCUCGAUGUUGGAUUAAGAUAUAAUUUUGGGUGUAGCCGUUCAAAUUUUAAGUCUGUUCGACUUUUAAAUUCUUACAUGAUCUGAGUUCAAACCGGUGUAAGCCAGGUUGGUUUCUAUCUUUAAUUAUUAAUAAUAUUUUAGUACGAAAGGAUUAAAUAUUAAAAUAAUAUAUUUUUAUUUAUGAAUAUUAAUAAUAU